RNAcentral lists this ribosomal RNA (372 nucleotides) under uncultured organism. RNAcentral's name for it is "bacterial SSU rRNA". It matches the Rfam family "Bacterial small subunit ribosomal RNA", at positions 526 to 896 of the family's 1533-position model. The record is from RNAcentral.
CGUAGGGUGCAAGCGUUAUCCGGAAUCACUGGGCGUAAAGCGUGCGUAGGCGGAAGCUUAAGUGUGAUGUUAAAUCGUGUGGCUCAACCAUAUCGAUGCAUCGCAUACUGGGUUUCUAGAGGACGGCAGAGGCAAGUGGAACUCGUAGUGUAGCAGUGAAAUGCGUAGAUAUUACGAAGAACACCAAUGGCGAAGGCAGCUUGCUGGGCCGCCCCUGACGCUGAGGCACGAAAGCGUGGGGAGCGAACAGGAUUAGAUACCCUGGUAGUCCGCGCCGUAAACGAUGCAUACUAGUCGUAUGGGGUAUCGACCCCCUGUGCGACGCAGCUAACGCGAUAAGUAUGCCGCCUGGGAAGUACGGCCGCAAGGCUA